Molecule: ribosomal RNA, 888 nt
Filed under: Eichleriella leucophaea
Lineage: Eukaryota; Fungi; Basidiomycota; Agaricomycetes; Auriculariales; Exidiaceae
Description: eukaryotic LSU rRNA
Rfam family: Eukaryotic large subunit ribosomal RNA
Source: RNAcentral
UCCCCUAGUAACGGCGAGUGAAGAGGGAAGAGCUCAAAUUUAAAAUCUGGCGGUCUAAGGCCGUCCGAGUUGUAAUCUAGAGAAGUGUUUUCCGUGCCGGACCGUGUACAAGUCCCUUGGAACAGGGCGUCAUAGAGGGUGAGAAUCCCGUCCAUGACACGGACUACCGGUGCACUGUGAUACACUUUCGAAGAGUCGAGUUGUUUGGGAAUGCAGCUCAAAAUGGGUGGUAAAUUCCAUCUAAAGCUAAAUACAGGCGAGAGACCGAUAGCGAACAAGUACCGUGAGGGAAAGAUGAAAAGAACUUUGGAAAGAGAGUUAAACAGUACGUGAAAUUGUUGAAAGGGAAACGCUUGAAGUCAGUCGCGUCCGCAGGGACUCAGCCUUGCUUUUGCUUGGUGUACUUCUCUGUGGAUGGGCCAGCAUCGAUUUUAGUCGCCGGAAAAGGGCGGGAGGAAUGUGGCAGCUUGCUGUGUUAUAGCCUCUCGUCGUACACGGUGGCCGGGAUCGAGGACUGCAGCACGCCUUUUGGUCGGGGUUCGCCCACGCCACGUGCUUAGGAUGCUGGCGUAAUGGCUUUAAACGACCCGUCUUGAAACACGGACCAAGGAGUCUAACAUGCCUGCGAGUGUUUGGGUGUAAAACCCAGGCGCGUAAUGAAAGUGAAAAGUUGGGACUCUUUAGUGAGGCACCGACGCCCGAUCCUGAAGUUCUCUGACGGAUUUGAGGCAGAGCAUGUAUGUUGGGACCCGAAAGAUGGUGAACUAUGCCUGAAUAGGGUGAAGCCAGAGGAAACUCUGGUGGAGGCUCGUAGCGAUUCUGACGUGCAAAUCGAUCGUCAAAUUUGGGUAUAGGGGCGAAAGACUAAUCGAACCAUCUAGUAGCUGG